Molecule: non-coding RNA, 631 nt
Organism: Chrysemys picta bellii (western painted turtle)
Lineage: Eukaryota; Metazoa; Chordata; Testudines; Emydidae
Source: RefSeq, a predicted model, not a curated record
CUCACAUUUAACUGGUUAUAGUACAUGUUGUCCUCAGGGCUAUUCAGCAUUUUGGGCUGCUGACAUCGUCGACGAGGUGUUCUCAGCUUCUGUUCGAGACAGUUUUCUGAACCUAAAGUGUUUGUACUCCUGAAACUUGAAGGACUGAAAACUGGUAUUUAUCCAAAACUUAUUGGCAAGUGCAGGCCUUAAAUAAGAAUCCACAGCAAUACUGUAAACUGGAUGGCACAUACUCAGGCAAUUACUGCCAUGAACUUCAAUGAGACUACACGUGUGAAGAAGUACUACUCAGCAUCGCUUCGGAUUUGCUUGGGGCUGUGGACUGGCUGGUUUGUUGCUAAGGAUGUGAACUAGUAUGUCUUUGGGAGCCUCUCCAGCACAGUGGUUUAAAGCCACAACUUUGCCCCAUGAAUCAACCCAUGAGGGCUUUGACAUUACAGCUCUCUCAGUGGCAUUCCAAUCUCUAGUACUUUCCUUUCAUUAUGUAAUUAUUUGAAGUCCUAAAGUUUUCUGAAGCAAAAGCACUGAAGAGUUCUGCAUUGUUUUCUUCUUCGCAAUGUGAGUACAGUAUUGUGCAAAACUUUAGUAAGUUUAUUUUUUUUAAAGGGGCUCUCUGUGCAUAUACUCAAAA